UCAGCCAGUCGCUCACAUAACAAUAGAAUGCAGCACAUGAUUGAAGAGACAACCAAUUUGCUAGUUACAGCAUUAGCGUGCGCACGCCCUGGAAAGAGAGCAGAGUAGAAAGGCAGUUUGUCAGUUACAGCAGCACGUCCCCUGGACGAUAAAGAAGAGGGUGGUCAGGCUUCUCACCUACGAGACGGGGGUGGUAAGGUGAUGAAGCGUACUUCACGAGCUGUAACUGAAACUGGCAUUUGGAAAGUUUGAGAUCCCAUGCCCUUCCAAUGGAAAGCUACAGGUCCUAUGCAAUUCCAUCUCGCAGACUGCAAUUCCUAUGGCUUCAACUAGAUGUCAACCCUCUUUGUUUAAGGUUUCAGGCUUGUUUCUUCCAAAACGAAACCUGAGCCCUAGGACCAUACGUCGGGACUACCGGCCGUGGUGACUCCUUGCUGCCCCCAGUCCGCCUGGCCUUGCUGCUAUUCCAGUUUCAACUCUUCUGCCUGCGGUUAUGGAACCCCUACCUGUCCCAGACCUGCUGUUUUCAACUCUUAAUGAUCGGCUAUGAAAAGCCAACUGAGAUUUAUUCCUGAUUAUUAUUUGACCAUGCUUGUCAUUUAUGAACAUUUUGAAAAUCUUGGCUCUCUCUAAUUUUCUCCUUCUCUCUUUCUUUCUCUCGGAGGACCUGGGCCCUAGGACCAUGCGUCGGGACUGCCGCCCGUGGUGACUCCUUGCUGUCCCCAGUCCGCCUGGCCUUGCUGCUAUUCCAGUUUCAGCUGUUCUGCCUGCGGUUAUGGAACCGCCACCUGUCCCAGACCUGUUGUUUUUCAACUCUUAAUGAUCAGCUAUGAAAAGCCAACUGAAAGUUAUUCAUGAUUAUUAUUUGACCAUGCUUGUCACUUAUGAACAUUUUUGAACAUCUUGGCAUAGUUCUGUUAUAAUCUCCACCCGGCACAGCCAGAAGAGGACUGGCCACCCCUCAUAGCCUGGUUCCUCUCUAGGUUUCUUCCUAGGUUUUGGCCUUUCUAGGGAGUUUUUCCUAGCCACCGUGCUUCUACACCUGCAUUCUAGCUGUUUGGGGUUUUAGGCUGGGUUUCUGUACAGCACUUCGAGAUAUUAUCUGAUGUACGAAGGGCUAUAUAAAAUAAAAUUGAUUGAUUGAACUAUUUAAAAAGUAAUUUCAAACAAAAACCAAUAGUUGCAAACCAUACAACUAUGCACAAGGACUACUUUUAGCAAUUUCCACUGAGAAUUUUACAAAAACACAUUUACUCGAAGAACAGUGCAAAUGCAAAGUUUGGUAACAUUAUUACAGAACAAACCGCACAACCCGUCAUUCUGUUACCAAACUUUGCAUACGUAAAAAAAUAUAUAUAAUAAUCAGAUUAACUGAAAUCGGAACCUUAUCACUUUCACUGUUACCGUGGAUUUGCAAAUAAUGACAUAGAAAAUAUUUAUUUUGACUAACAUAAGGCGUUCCCCAAAUGGUGAACUCGGUUCUUUUGAAAACUUCAGUCACAAUCUGACAGAUUUGAUCAGCAAAUCAAGUGAGAAAGCCACCUAACUGUUAACGUUAACAAGCCAGUUCUAACCAUCUUGCAAGCUACAACCAAAACCAUAUCUAUAUUUUGUAUUUAUCUUAUAACUAAAAGGGCUACGCUAUGGGUACAUAACCAGAGAACCUCUACAACCUGUUAGCAAGCUAGCGUUACUGUAAUUAGCUAACUGGGUAGCCUAGCAGUCCACUUACUUUAG
Salvelinus fontinalis (brook trout) is the source of this 1737-nucleotide long non-coding RNA. RefSeq lists it as uncharacterized. The transcript has 3 exons. Lineage: Eukaryota; Metazoa; Chordata; Actinopteri; Salmoniformes; Salmonidae. The record is from RefSeq and is a predicted model, not a curated record.